AGUAGAAAUUAUUUGAUUUGAUGCAAAUAAAAUGCAUUAAAAUAUUUUAAUUGAGUUUGAAAGGUAGUAUUUCAAAUACUCUCUCUUAACACAUAUAGGGAAAUUCAUAAAUUAGGUGAUGGGCUAGUUGGUAAAAGGCGAGGGGAUGCAGGCCACAUGGCGAGGGUAAAAUGAACAAGUGAUGCGACGGAGGGUAAGGGUGUCAAAAGUUGACAUUUACCCGAUAAGUCAACUUGGCCUAAACUCGACUCGAAAAAUCUAGAUUCAAGUUGACCUGAAUAAUUCUCGGGUCCAAUUUGGGUUAGGAAUUCUAAUCCAUUUAAUAUUUUUUGUCUGAUUUGGGUUGACCCGCCAAGUUGAAAUCACUUCAAAACUAAUCUGCUAACUGGAAAUGGACUCAAAAUCAACCUGAAUAGCCAUUAUGUCUUAUGUUAAACAUGUUAAAGUGAGUCGGGUUCAAGUUAGACUUAUUGACUCAUUUAAUAUUCAAGUCGGCUUUGUGUCAAAUAGUUUUUGGUCAGGUCGAGUUUAGGUCAAACAAUUUUGGGUUAUGUCAAAUUCGGAUCAAACCUGAACACAGACCCAAUUUGACAUCCCUAAACGAGGACUGGAGUGGCGUGGCACGAGCGGAUAAGAGGAUGACACAUCACGAGAUUUGAAAAUCAACCAAUUUAGGUGAUUUCCAAAUGUAAGGAAACUAUGAAUUUUGAGAUAAUUAGAACAUGCCAAAAAUUUAAUUUGUAUUUCUUUUGCUUUAAGGCAGAAAAAAUGAAAUACAUUACAACUUUUAAUGCUUCCAAACAAAUCCUCAUAUAUUUAGAGGUUUUCACAAUGAUUUCACCUCAAAAAGUUGCUACAAGACUAAAAAAACAAAAUAAAAGCCUCCCUAACAAUCAAAACAUGAUCCAUAAAACCUACCAAAAAUUUUGAUGACUGAAUCUGCAAGAGUUAUAAUUUCAUGAUAGCUGCCCAUUGUUUAGAUCCCCUCAAUUAUUACAGCAACAGUCACUUACCCUUUUCCCUUAUAUAUUCUCAAAAAAAAAA
Molecule: long non-coding RNA, 1044 nt
Organism: Phalaenopsis equestris
Lineage: Eukaryota; Viridiplantae; Streptophyta; Magnoliopsida; Asparagales; Orchidaceae
Exons: 2
Source: RefSeq, a predicted model, not a curated record